Molecule: long non-coding RNA, 155 nt
Organism: Cyprinus carpio (common carp)
Lineage: Eukaryota; Metazoa; Chordata; Actinopteri; Cypriniformes; Cyprinidae
Exons: 3
Source: RefSeq, a predicted model, not a curated record
AAAGCGCGAUGACUGCUAAACUGGAUGGUGUCAUUAAACAGGUUGGUGAGAUCAGAGAUGUUGACCGCAGACUGCGAACACUAGAAUCAGAUAUGGAGUUCUGUACAUCUUCUCUUGUGUGGAUUAUGGAAACUCUGUCUCAGAGCAGUACAGUG